RNAcentral lists this ribosomal RNA (247 nucleotides) under uncultured bacterium. Its description in RNAcentral is "partial 16S ribosomal RNA". It matches the Rfam family "Bacterial small subunit ribosomal RNA", at positions 523 to 769 of the family's 1533-position model. The record is from RNAcentral.
AUACGGAGGAUCCAAGCGUUAUCCGGAUUUAUUGGGUUUAAAGGGAGCGUAGGUUGACAUAUAAGUCAGCUGUGAAAGUUUACGGCUCAACCGUGAAAUUGCAGUUGAUACUGUUGGUCUUGAGUGUAGAUGAGGUGGGUGGAAUUCGUAGUGUAGCGGUGAAAUGCUUAGAUAUUACGAAGAACUCCAAUUGCGUAGGCAGCUCACUGGGCUACAACUGACGCUGAGGCACGAAGGUGCGGGGAUC